This 218-nucleotide ribosomal RNA is filed under the name uncultured bacterium. Its description in RNAcentral is "partial 16S ribosomal RNA". It matches the Rfam family "Bacterial small subunit ribosomal RNA", at positions 28 to 242 of the family's 1533-position model. The record is from RNAcentral.
GAUUAACGCUAGCGGCAGGCCUAAUACAUGCAAGUCGAACGGGAUUUCGGGUAGCAAUAUCUGAAUGAGAGUGGCGCACGGGUGCGUAACACGUAUGCAAUCUGCCUCUGACUGGGGAAUAGCCUUCCGAAAGGAAGAUUAAUACCGCAUAAUAUAAUAGAGUAGCAUUACUUUGUUAUCAAACUACUGGUGGUCGAGAGAUGAGCAUGCGUCCGAUU